Non-coding RNA from Sus scrofa (pig), 72 nucleotides. The record is from Rfam. NCBI's taxonomy places the organism in Eukaryota, Metazoa, Chordata, Mammalia, Artiodactyla, Suidae.
UCCCUGGUGGUCUAGUGGUUAAGAUUCAGCACUUUCACCACUGUAGCCCAGGUUCAAUUCCUGGUCUGAGAA